Lycium barbarum (goji berry) is the source of this 4304-nucleotide long non-coding RNA. RefSeq lists it as uncharacterized. Lineage: Eukaryota; Viridiplantae; Streptophyta; Magnoliopsida; Solanales; Solanaceae. The record is from RefSeq and is a predicted model, not a curated record. The transcript has 5 exons.
GCUAAUCGACAUAAGUUCAAGGACAAGAUUAUUUUUGAGACAUGAGACAGGAAAUAUUUAAUCCCAAUUUUAAAAAUUGCACGAGAUGCUAGUUAAUUAUUAUUAGUGUGGAGAUGUUAGUGAAGAUUAGGAAUUAAUUAUGUGUGCAAUUAAUCAUACAUGGAGGGUAGUGGAGAAAUUAUUAAUUAUCUAGGAAAUUCCGUUAAUCGUUGAAUUAGUAGAAGAUUAGUGAAUUAAUUGUUGAUGAAUGGAUAAGUGUUAAAGGGGGACAACUACUUGCACGUGGAUGCAUGAGCAAAAUGCAUAAGGUGACUAAUGUAAUGUGUGUAUCCAUUUAGUUUACUUUUAGGACCAAAACUCUAUAUAUAAGUAAAGCCAAAAAAAGUUAUGGGUAUCACGGCCAUAGAUGGAUUAUGCUCACUCAUUUAAGUAGAUACUACACUUAAGGUUGAGAUUUGUGUUACGAAAGAAGGACGCUUGGUUUGCUGAAAGUACGGAUACAAGGAAUGAAGUUCCGAAAUGAUUUAAAAAAAAAGUGAUGACGAUAAUUGAAAAUAAUAUUUUAUGUGUGAAAAAUGAAGCUAUGGAUUAGUGCUACGUCACAUAAUCAUGACAAUGAGUAUAUGAAGUGUAUUAAAAAUAAUUGGUAUUAAAGUAAAUUGAGAUUAAGAAAUUAAUUUUGCGUGUGAUUGAUUAAGAGGACAAUUAUAGUGGAAGACAAGAAAUGAAUGGAUAUAAUUGGAUAGUUAUUAGUGGCAUAGUACACGUAUUAAUGGAAAAAAAAGGUUAAAUAUUAAGUUGUUGACUAUGCUUUACACGUGACUUCCUUGGCAAAGUUGCUGAAGAUGAUUAAGCAUGAAAACGGGUAGGUGGCUUUUAAAGAUAGAGACUAUUUCUUUAAAAAUAUUGGACCCCACAGUCCACUACAUGCCCACUACAUAUUACACAACUCUUAUAUUCUUUUGGUGCAACUAUACACAUAUCUUCGCGACAACAUCAAUUCAUCUAAAAUAGCAAGGAUAGAUACAUAUUUCUUACCUUCUUCUUACGCUAGUUAAUGGAAGAUUAGCAGUGGACAACAUUUCUUUUUCUCUUUCGUUCAACACCCAAAACAGAAACAUGAGCUACAAUUUUAAAGAAGCGAAGUGUAAUAUUGUUUUACCAAGGAUAACAUACGGGUUUUUGUAUACCCCUUCAAUCUCGUUGUUUUAUUUUGUCGUGUUGUUAAAUUCGGACUUUCUUCAAAAUGAAGUAAAGGAGAAGGAGAGGAAUUUUUGGCAAAUGAGGUUUAUCAUAUUAAUUGUGGAAGUUCUUGGCUGGACUGAGCCCUUGAACGACGUAAGGUCAGCAGGUAGGCGGAUCUGAUUCCUAGGAGCUCUAUCAGCAGUACUUGGCAGCGCUCCAGUUGUUUCGGAGCCUCAGUUUCUUGGUACUACUUUUGUGUGUAUAAUCGGGCAUGGCAGGAUCCGGCCCUUCAUAUGUAUAUGUGUACGUUGUUUAGAGGCUCGUAGACAGAUAUGUACAGUCAGAUGUUUUGUACUUUUGUUGUCCCUGUCGCUGUAUAAUGUGCUAGCAAAGUUUAUUAGCCUAUGUUCAUAAAUAACUACUAAUGUUAAUGUUAAGUAACAAAAAAAAUAUGAUAUAGUUCAUACGACCCACUAAGGAAUAGAGGUAAAAUGAUAGAUAAGGGGUGCUCGGUACAAGUAUCGGGUACUCGUCACGGCCCCUAGUUGGGUCGUGACAGAAGUGGUAUCAGAGCAGUUCGUCCUAGGGGUUUGUCUACGAGCCGUGUCUAUUAGAGUCUUGUUUAUCGGUGUGUUGUGCACCACAUCUAUAAACAGGAGGCUACAGGACAUUUAGGGUGUUACCUUUCUUUGGAUCUUAGAUCGUGCGAUAGAGCCAGCCAUAAGAAAUGAAAUUCCUUUUUACUAACCCUUGAUUUCAGCCAAAGAACGGCAUCGACAGAAGACAGUGACUGAUGAUAUUGGAAGCUACACAGUACUCAGGUAAGCAAUGGUAUGAAAAAUGUAUAUCGGGGAAGUCAUUUGAGGUAUGAUUGGAAUAUAAAGUUGGAAAUUGAAAGGGAAAGUAAACAGGAAAGUGUAACAGGUGCAGUUUGAGUUGGACAUGUGAGGUAAGUUUCGACAUUUUCAUAUUUUUAUUUGAAACCGUUAGCCCUGUGUGGCUAUGACACGAUAUGAUACGAUAUAUAUAUACGCAUGUGUGUUGGCCCUGUGAGGCAUGGUUGGUAUUUCCUGCGUGCAGGUUUUGGGAUAGUAGGAAAUACAGAGGAAACUUUGCCGAAAUUUCCCUAGAAAUUAAUUACGGGGGUGGAUGAUUAUGAUUGGAUUAUUAUGGGAGAGAAAGGAAUGUUAUUAAUAAAUGUCAAGUGGAGAAUGACAUUAGGCUAAGUAAAGAGAGGCACAUCAUGAUAGAUAAGUUCGAGUUACAAUUGAUUUGUUAUGAGAUCACCAUAACCAGUAUACCUAUAUAGGACUUGUUUAACAUUCGAGGACGAAUGUUCUAAAGGGGGGAAGGAUGUUAUACCCCGUACUUUUGUACAUUGGGUUAUUCGUAAGCUAAUCGACAUAAGUUCAAGGACAAGAUUAUUUUUGAGACAUGAGACAGGAAAUAUUUAAUCCCAAUUUUAAAAAUUGCACGAGAUGCUAGUUAAUUAUUAUUAGUGUGGAGAUGUUAGUGAAGAUUAGGAAUUAAUUAUGUGUGCAAUUAAUCAUACAUGGAGGGUAGUGGAGAAAUUAUUAAUUAUCUAGGAAAUUCCGUUAAUCGUUGAAUUAGUAGAAGAUUAGUGAAUUAAUUGUUGAUGAAUGGAUAAUUGUUAAAGGGGGACAACUACUUGCACGUGGAUGCAUGAGCAAAAUGCAUAAGGUGACUAAUGUAAUGUGUGUAUCCAUUUAGUUUACUUUUAGGACCAAAAAUCUAUAUAUAAGUAAAGCCAAAAAAAGUUAUGGGUCUCACGGCCAUAAAUGGAUUAUGCUCACUCAUUUAAGUAGAUACUACACUUAAGGUUGAGAUUUGUGUUACGAAAGAAGGACGCUUGGUUUGCUGAAAGUACGGAUACAAGGAAUGAAGUUCCGAAAUGAUUUAAAAAAAAAGUGAUGACGAUAAUUGAAAAUAAUAUUUUAUGUGUGGAAAAUGAAGCUAUGGAUUAGUGCUACGUCACAUAAUCAUGACAAUGAAUAUAUGAAGUGUAUUAAAAAUAAUUGAUAUUAAAGUAAAUUGAGAUUAAGAAAUUAAUUUUGCGUGUGAUUGAUUAAGAGGACAAUUAUAGUGGAAGACAAGAAAUGAAUGGAUAUAAUUGGAUAGUUAUUAGUGGCAUAGUACACGUAUUAAUGGAAAAAAAAGGUUAAAUAUUAAGUUGUUGACUAUACUUUACACGUGACUUCCUUGGCAAAGUUGCUGAAGAUGAUUAAGCAUGAAAACGGGUAGGUGGCUUUUAAAGAUAGAGACUAUUUUUUUAAAAAUAUUGGACUCCACAGUCCACUACAUGCCCACUACACAUUACACAACUCUUAUAUUCUUUUGGUGCAACUAUACACAUAUCUUCGGGACAACAUCAAUUCAUCUAAAAUAGCAUGGAUAGAUACAUAUUUCUUACCUUCUUCUUACGCUAGUUAAUGGAAGAUUAGCAGUGGACAACAUUUCUUUUUCUCUUUCGUUCAACACCCAAAACAGAAACAUGAGCUACAAUUUUAAAGAAGCGAAGUGUAAUAUUUUUUUACCAAGGAUAACAUACGGGUUUUUGUAUACCCCUUCAAUCUCGUUGUUUUAUUUUGUCGUGUUGUUAAAUUCGGACUUUCUUCAAAAUGAAGUAAAGGAGAAGGAGAGGAGUUUUUGGAAAAUGAGGUUUAUCAUAUUAAUUGUGGAAGUUCUUGGCUGGACUGAGCCCUUGAACGACGUAAGGUCAGCAGGUAGGCGGAUCUGAUUCCUAGGAGCUCUAUCAGCAGUACUUGGCAGCGCUCCAGUUGUUUCGGAGCCUCAGUUUCUUGGUACUACUUUUGUGUGUAUAAUCGGGCAUGGCAGGAUCCGGCCCUUCAUAUGUAUAUGUGUACGUCGUUUAGAGGCUCGUAGACAGAUAUGUACAGUCAGAUGUUUUGUACUUUUGUUGUCCCUGUCGCUGUAUAAUGUGCUAGCAAAGUUUAUUAGCCUAUGUUCAUAAAUAGCUACUAAUGUUAAUGUUAAGUAACAAAAAAAAUAUGAUAUAGUUCAUACGGCCCACUAAGGAAUAGAGGUAAAAUGAUAGAUAAGGGGUGCUCGGUACAAGUAUCGGGUACUCGUCACGGUCC